Non-coding RNA from Paramuricea clavata, 474 nucleotides. Lineage: Eukaryota; Metazoa; Cnidaria; Anthozoa; Malacalcyonacea; Plexauridae. The record is from the annotation of a GenBank genome assembly.
GUAAAUGGGGGGAAAUUGUCCACGUCUCAACCACUUCUGUCCAAGUAUUGUACGUAGCUCUUUCACGUCUAUAAGUUUUGUUCUCAUCGAUAUUGGUUCGAGUGUACGUGUUUAGUUGACUGUCAACAACUUUAAAAGAAAUUUCAUAAACUGUACGUCAAAGGCAAACAUAUAAAAGACACUUGCUAUUGUGUUGCGAACACAAACAAAAAUUUCAAGUAGAUAGUAGCACUUUAAUUUCGUGAAAAUUCGAAUAUUCGAUUUCGUGACUGCUAAGCCAAAUUAAAUACUUCUGUUCGCAAUAAAAUUUUUGGACAUAAUUAUAUAUGUAUAGAUGUUAAUUAUUAUAUAGAUCCUAUUUCAUAUGUCAAAAUAUAACUGUUUGGUAUUUGCGGAAUUAUUACGUUGAUUUGUAUUACUAGCCUAUUAUAGCUUACUAUUAUUUAAUAUUGCAUGGACCUUGACUAGUAUUUA